GUCAGAAUGGACGAGUGGUCUAAGGCGCCAGAUUUAAGCGCUGGUUCUCGAAAGAGAGCGUGGGUUCGAACCCCACUUCUGACA
This 84-nucleotide transfer RNA is filed under the name Parasteatoda tepidariorum (common house spider). RNAcentral describes it as "transfer RNA leucine (anticodon UAA)". It matches the Rfam family "tRNA". From Rfam's summary of the family: Transfer RNA (tRNA) molecules are approximately 80 nucleotides in length. Their secondary structure includes four short double-helical elements and three loops (D, anti-codon, and T loops). Lineage: Eukaryota; Metazoa; Arthropoda; Arachnida; Araneae; Theridiidae. The record is from RNAcentral.